AGAGUUUGAUCAUGGCUCAGAACGUACGCUGGCGGCACGCCUAACACAUGCAAGUCGAACGGAGUAGCAAUACUCAGUGGCAGACGGGUGAGUAACAUGUAGGUAUCUGCCCUUUGGCCUGGAAUAACACGAGGAAACUUGUGCUAAUACCGGAUAAGUCUUUACGGAGAAAGCUUUAUGCACCAUUGGAUGAGCCUGCACUUGAUUAGUUUGUUGGUGGGGUAAUGGCCUACCAAGACUUUGAUCAAUAGCUGAUUUGAGAGGAUGAUCAGCCACAUUGGGACUGAGACACGGCCCAAACUCCUACGGGAGGCAGCAGUGGGGAAUCUUGCACAAUGGAGGAAACUCUGAUGCAGCGAUGCCGCGUGAGUGAAGAAGGCCCUUGGGUUGUAAAGCUCUUUCGUCGGGGAAGAAAAUGACUGUACCCGAAUAAGAAGGUCCGGCUAACUUCGUGCCAGCAGCCGCGGUAAUACGAAGGGACCUAGCGUAGUUCGGAAUUACUGGGCUUAAAGAGUUCGUAGGUGGUUGAAAAAGUUGGUGGUGAAAUCCCAGAGCUUAACUCUGGAACUGCCAUCAAAACUUUUCAGCUAGAGUAUGAUAGAGGAAAGCAGAAUUUCUAGUGUAGAGGUGAAAUUCGUAGAUAUUAGAAAGAAUACCAAUUGCGAAGGCAGCUUUCUGGAUCAUUACUGACACUGAGGAACGAAAGCAUGGGUAGCGAAGAGGAUUAGAUACCCUCGUAGUCCAUGCCGUAAACGAUGUGUGUUAGACGUUGGAAAUUUAUUUUCAGUGUCGCAGCGAAAGCGAUAAACACACCGCCUGGGGAGUACGACCGCAAGGUUAAAACUCAAAUGAAUUGACG
This 859-nucleotide ribosomal RNA is filed under the name marine metagenome. RNAcentral's name for it is "bacterial SSU rRNA". It matches the Rfam family "Bacterial small subunit ribosomal RNA", at positions 8 to 915 of the family's 1533-position model. The record is from RNAcentral.